This 344-nucleotide ribosomal RNA is filed under the name uncultured Pseudomonas sp. Its description in RNAcentral is "bacterial SSU rRNA". It matches the Rfam family "Bacterial small subunit ribosomal RNA", at positions 43 to 389 of the family's 1533-position model. Lineage: Bacteria; Pseudomonadati; Pseudomonadota; Gammaproteobacteria; Pseudomonadales; Pseudomonadaceae. The record is from RNAcentral.
CAGGCCUAACACAUGCAAGUCGAGCGGAUGACGGGAGCUUGCUCCUUGAUUCAGCGGCGGACGGGUGAGUAAUGCCUAGGAAUCUGCCUGGUAGUGGGGGACAACGUUUCGAAAGGAACGCUAAUACCGCAUACGUCCUACGGGAGAAAGCAGGGGACCUUCGGGCCUUGCGCUAUCAGAUGAGCCUAGGUCGGAUUAGCUAGUUGGUGGGGUAAUGGCUCACCAAGGCGACGAUCCGUAACUGGUCUGAGAGGAUGAUCAGUCACACUGGAACUGAGACACGGUCCAGACUCCUACGGGAGGCAGCAGUGGGGAAUAUUGGACAAUGGGCGAAAGCCUGAUCC